Molecule: ribosomal RNA, 253 nt
Filed under: uncultured bacterium
Lineage: Bacteria
Description: partial 16S ribosomal RNA
Rfam family: Bacterial small subunit ribosomal RNA
Source: RNAcentral
UACGAAGGGGGCUAGCGUUGCUCGGAAUCACUGGGCGUAAAGCGCUCGUAGGCGGCCUCUUAAGUCGGCGGUGAAAUCCUGGAGCUCAACUCCAGAACUGCCUUCGAUACUGAGAGUCUCGAGUCCGGGAGAGGUGAGUGGAACUGCGAGUGUAGAGGUGAAAUGCGUAGAUAUUCGCAAGAACACCAGUGGCGAAGGCGGCUCACUGGCCCGGUACUGACGCUGAGGUGCGAAAGCGUGGGGAGCAAACAGG